This 253-nucleotide ribosomal RNA is filed under the name uncultured bacterium. Its description in RNAcentral is "partial 16S ribosomal RNA". It matches the Rfam family "Bacterial small subunit ribosomal RNA", at positions 524 to 776 of the family's 1533-position model. The record is from RNAcentral.
UACGAAGGGGGCUAGCGUUGCUCGGAAUCACUGGGCGUAAAGCGCGCGUAGGCGGCUUUGUAAGUUAGAGGUGAAAGCCCGGGGCUCAACCCCGGAACUGCCUUUAAGACUGCAUCGCUUGAAUCCGGGAGAGGUGAGUGGAAUUCCGAGUGUAGAGGUGAAAUUCGUAGAUAUUCGGAAGAACACCAGUGGCGAAGGCGGCUCACUGGACCGGUAUUGACGCUGAUGUGCGAAAGCGUGGGGAGCAAACAGG